ACACAUACGACCUUCCGGUCUCACAGUCAAACCCUUCCGGGUGAAGUAUAGUGAGAAGACUCACCUCGUAGUAUGCAAGCUAUAAACUCUUCGGGCUACUCGCACACGAUCCGCUAAUCCGCAGGUUCCCUAUAAUACCACAUCCUUUGUUAAUGAUCUUAUCAAACAAGACCACUGACCCUACUAAGUUAUAUACAGGUCAACGGUCAACCUUGACCGGACUCGUCGAGUCCAAAGGGUAACUCGACGAGUAUAGACACCCUGACACCACUCGCCGAGUCUGAAGAACGACUCGACGAGUUCCUGUAGAUCUUCAAGCUACUCGCCGAGUCUGAAGAACAACUCGGCGAGUCCUAGUGAACCUUCAAGCUACUCGCCGAGUCUGAAGAACAACUCGGCGAGUUCUAGUGAAUCUUCAAGCUACUCGCCGAGUCUGAUCAUUGGACUCGGCGAGUCCUCGCCAUGCAGUCAAUCCGCUGCCUCCUGUAUUUCGCAUGAUUUCGAAGUAUAUAGAUAUAGGGCUUCCUGGACUUUCACAUAUACUAUUACGGGGUUUUUUAACACUUAUAACAACAAUAUAAUCUAACUAACCCUUAAUUGGGUUUCCUAAACCCUAAACUCGCAUACAACGUAAAAGUUACAGAUUUCGAUCCGAAGAUUACCUGGAAACGUGUUCCCUGUGUCUCCAAACCUCCAGUACUCGAUUCCUUUGAUCACCACCUUGCUCCUCCUUGUCUAACAAUCUCUUCAAGCCUUCUCAAGUCCUCUCUCUUGCUUCAGAUGCUCACACACUCCCAGGGGAUCUUCAACCGGCCAAAAGACGCGACAUGACGGCCAUAAGAUCGUUAUAUACGAUCAGAAAUGAAACGGCUAGGGUUCAGCUGAACGGCGUCGACUCGCCGAGUCCCUUAUUGGACUCGUCGAGUCCAGUCGCGCGUCUGCGACCAAGACCAUGGCCCUACUCGGCGAGUCGUGCACCAACUCGCCGAGUCCCCUCCUAAAUGUGCCCCAAAAAUAAUUUAAAGAAAUACCUGAAAUUCCGGGCUGUUACAACUCUCCCCCACUAGAACUAGACUUCGCCCUCGAAGUCUCUCAUUCUGCGAAUAACUCCGGAUGUUGCUCCCGCAUUUCUCUUUCCGGCUCCCAAGUCAUCUCCGAUCCCUUCCGAUGUUGCCACUGAACCAACACCAGAGGUAUUUCCUUGUUCCGUAGAACCUUGAUCUUCCGAUCCCUGAUAGCUACUGGUCUCUCGGCGUAAUUCAGACUCGCAUCUACCUGGAUAUCUUCUAACGGAACCACUGCUGCCUCAUCGGCUAUACACUUCCUCAGCUGUGAUACGUGGAAGGUAUUGUGAAUCUGAUUCAGCUCCGCUGGCAACUCCAACCGAUAAGCUACCCGACCUACCCUUGCAAUUACCCGAAAUGGACCUAUGAACCGGGGCCCCAAUUUGCCCCUCUUCCUGAACCGAAUCACCCCUUUCCAAGGAGAAACCUUUAGGAGAACGAAGUCGCCGACCUGGAAUUCGAGCUCGGACCGGCGUCUGUCCGCAUAACUCUUCUGUCGGCUCUGGGCGGUCAAUAACCUCUGCCUCACCCGUUGGAUCUGUUCAGUCGUUUGAAGUACGAUCUCUGUACUGCCCAUCACUCUCUGUCCCACUUCUCCCCAGCAAAUGGGAGUCCGACACCUCCUACCAUACAACAACUCAAAAGGUGGCAUACCAAUGCUCGAAUGAUGGCUGUUGUUGUAGGAAAACUCAGCCAGCGGCAGAUGCGCAUCCCAGCUACCCCCGAAGUCUAACACACACGCUCUAAGCAUAUCUUCCAAUGUCUGGAUCGUCCGCUCGCUUUGACCGUCGGUCUGGGGAUGGUAUGCGGUACUAAAAUGCAGUUUAGUACCCAACUCCUCAUGGAAUUUCUUCCAGAACCUGGAAGUGAAACGUACAUCGCGGUCCGAAACAAUCGAGGUCGGCACUCCAUGCCGAGAUACUAUCUCUCUCACGUACAACUCCGCCAACUUCUCUGCUGAUGAACUUUCACUAAUGGCAAGGAAAUGUGCACUCUUUGUUAGUCUAUCCACAAUCACCCAAAUCGCAUCGACUCCCCUGGCAGUUUUCGGCAAUUUGGUGAUGAAAUCCAUCGUGAUCUGAUCCCACUUCCACUCAGGGAUCUCCAAGGGUUGCAACUUACCGUGCGGUCUCUGGUGCUCGGCCUUAACUUUACGGCAGGUCAAACACCUCUCCACGAACCACGCAACGUCUCUCUUCAUGCAAGGCCACCAGUACUCCUUUUUCAAAUCCAGAUACAUUUUCGUAGCACCGGGAUGGAUCGAGAAUUUCGAUCUAUGUGCCUCCUCCAUCAAAAUGACACGCGUACCGCCCACGAAUGGCACCCAGAUCCGACCCUGAAAUGUCAGAAGUCCCCGCCCAUCCGUAACGAACUCUGAAAUUAACCCGACGACCCGCUCCUGUUUCUGCAUCCCAGACUUCACAACCUCGGCCUGUGCCCCACGAAUAGUAUCUAAUACCGGAGUCACCACCGUCAAUCUCAAACAUACGUCCCGCAAUGGAGUACCCUCCGCCCUACGACUCAAUGCAUCGGCUACCACAUUAGCCUUGCCUGGGUGGUAUAGGAUCUCACAGUCAUAAUCCUUAACCACGUCUAACCAUCUCCUCUGGCGCAUGUUUAGGUUGGGUUGAUCCAUCAAAUACUUCAAACUCUUAUGGUCCGUGUAUAUGGUACAACGAACCCCGUACAGGUAGUGACGCCAAAUUUUGAGGGCGAACACUACUGCCCCCAACUCUAAGUCAUGCGUGGGAUAUCUCGCUUCGUGAGGCUUCAGCUGCCUCGAUGCAUAGGCUAUCACAUGGCCCCUCUGCAUCAACACUGCACCCAGUCCUGAAAUCGAUGCGUCGCAAUAUACGACGAAGUCCUCCAUCCCUUCAGGAAGGGCUAAUACUGGUGCUUCGCACAGUCUCUGACGAAGUGUCUCGAAGGAAGUCUGCUGCUCGGGUCCCCAUGAGAAUGUAACACCCUUUCGGGUCAAUUUGGUAAGUGGCACUGCGAUCUUGGAGAAGUCCCUAAUGAACCUUCGAUAGUACCCUGCCAACCCAAGGAAACUCCUGAUCUCCGAAGGUGACUUUGGUGCCUCCCAUCUCAUCACCGCCUCCACCUUGGCCGGAUCGACCAAUAUCCCUGCCUGAUUUACAACGUGCCCCAGAAAUUGAACCUCCCGUAACCAGAAGUCACAUUUGGAGAAUUUUGCAUAUAGCUUCUCCGACCUCAGUACCUCAAGGACCUCCCUCAAAUGUCCCUCAUGCUGCUCCCUAGACCGCGAAUACACCAGAAUGUCGUCGAUGAAUACAAUCACAGACCGAUCCAGCAUCGGCCUGCAUACCCUGUUCAUGAGAUCCAUGAACACUGCUGGGGCAUUGGUGAGCCCAAAAGGCAUCACCACGAACUCGUAAUGCCCAUACCGCGUCCUAAAGGCUGUCUUCUGGACGUCCUCAUCCCGCACCCUUACCUGAUGGUACCCUGAUCUCAAAUCAAUCUUGGAAAACCAAGAUGCCCCUUGCAACUGAUCGAAUAGAUCAUCGAUUCUUGGUAACGGAUAGCGGUUCUUAACUGUCACCUUGUUCAGUUCCCGGUAAUCGAUACACAUCCGGUGUGAACCAUCCUUCUUCUUGACGAACAGAAUCGGUGCUCCCCACGGCGAGCUACUCGGCCGAAUAAAUCCCUUCCCCAACAACUCUUGAAGUUGCGAGGACAAUUCUUGCAUCUCUGGAGGUGCAAGACGAUAAGGCACCUUCGCAAUAGGCGCCGCCCCUGGAACUAGGUCGAUACCAAACUCCACUUGCCUCGCAGGAGGUAUUCCCGGCAAAUCCUCGGGGAAAACAUCUGGAAACUCGCGCACCACUGGAACCUCCUUCAAUGUCUUCGGUCUCUCGGAACUCUCCCGCGUAUCCAUCACAUACGCCACAAAACCGUUACAUCCCCGCUGUAGGCAUUGCCUCGCCCUAGCAGCCGAACAAAAAGCUGAUCUCGAACGGGUACCCUCGCCGUACACCGUAAGAACUCCCCCACUAGGGUCUCGUAUAGUCACCAACUGACGCUCGCAGUCGAUGACAGCGCUGAAUCGGCUCAACCAGUCCAUGCCUACAAUGACACAGACAUCACCCAUCGCAAUAGGAAUUAGGUCAAUCGGAAAUGCGACCCCGAAGAUCUCUAGCACACAUCCCCGAAAAACCUCCGUAGCACAAAUCACCCUCUCAGCCGCAAUGGAAACGCUCAAAGGCCGACUUAACGGCUCACGACUAAUGCCGAUGUGCUGACUAAAAGCUAACGAUACAAACGAUCUACUCGCACCCGAAUCAAAUAAUACUAGAGCAGGCAUAGAGUUCACAAGGAAAGUACCUACACAUACAUUAACAUAAGCAUAACAUUUCGACCUUUAAUUAAAUACAUGAAAGAUAACAUACCUGCCACAACAUCGGGCGCAGCGCGGACCUCCUCCGCAGUCAGCUGAAAGGCUCUCCCGCGAGCCCUCGGGGCCUCGACCUUCACCGGUCGGGUCUCAGUAGUCCGGGUAGUAGGUGUAGCUCCCUGACGAAGUUGCGGGCACUCGGCCUUCCGAUGGCCUGUCUGGUUGCAGUGAAAGCAAACCAUAAACCCCUUAGGGCAAUCCCUGGCAAUAUGUCCCUCCUUGCCACACUUGUAGCAACCACCAGCUCGACACGCCCCCUCGUGACUCUUGCCGCACUUCGCGCAAGUGCGACCCUUCGAACCUCCCAUCCUCGAAUCAGCGAACUUAGUCCGCUUGGCUGCCGGCUGAGACUGGGCCGGCCGUCGAUCCACCUGCCGAGACUCAGCCUCCUCCCUCGCUUGAGUCUCCAACUCAAUCUCGCGCUUCCUGGCGUUCGCCUGAAGCUCAGUGAAAGUACGAUAGGUGGAGUUUGACACAAACUCCCGAAUCUCCCUCUUCAAAACACCCAAAUAGCGGCUCAUCCGCGACUGCUCCGUAGAUACCAGCUCGGGGCAGAACAUUGCCCUCUCAUGAAACUUCCGUGUGAUCACUGCCACGGAAUCAGUACCCUGCUUAAGGGUCAAGAACUCCUGAAUCAAUCGCUCCCUCUCUACCGGGGGAACGUACUCAUCCCUGAACAUCUCCGUAAACCUCUCCCAUGUCACCGCCGAAAUCUCUGCCUGAGUGAAGUUCGCUGUCACGAACUUCCACCAAUCCUUCGCUCCCAGACGGAGCUGGUUCAAGGCGAACCGUACCCUCAAGUGCUCCGGGCAUGAGCAAGUAUAGAAACACCCCUCGAUGUCGGCGAUCCACCUCAUAGCUGCAAUCGGAUCCUGCGUCCCAUCAAAUUCAGGGGGUUUCGUGUUGCUGAAUUCCCUGAAUAGUAAUGAAUCACCCCCUUGCGGCCUGGCAGCAGCCACCGCUGCGGUAGCGGCAGUAACUGCAGCUUCAGUAAGUGCGGCGUACCGCUCCUCAAACUCCUCCAUCAACGUGGUCUUAAUAGACCCAAACAUCUCCGGGAUCUCAGCCCGGACCGCCGCAGCUACCUCUUCCUGAAUAAUCUGACGAAUCUCCUCGUCACUCGCACCGCUCGAACUCGCCCCAUUGCGUGUGAUAACCAUGAUGUCUCUGAAAUACAACAUAAAAUCAUCAGAGACUCCACCAAGUACAAUUGUACUCGAUACGCGCCCUACCCAGUCUCCGAUUUCCAGGGAUUCUUAUUUGAGUCUUCCACUGAUCCGGUGCCUUCGAUAGUACGGGCCCAAUACUACCGACCACACCGUAUCAGUAUUCGUCCCAAAUCUUCCUCCCCAAAUCCCGAAUAAUGAGUACUCUACCUCUAGUAUGCACUAUCUACUUGCACGCUACCAAAUAUCUCAUAUAAGCAAUCUCCCUAGACUAAGGCAUCACAAAACAGGCAAUUCUAGUCCUAUCAUGUAUACCUAGUCUUCUAGCAUGCAUAACAAUUCAUAAUUCAGUGCAUAACAUAACAUCGUAAGGUAUUCUGGGGAUCUUUACCGUUCGGACGCUGGCUGCUCGUACACACUGUUCCAUCCUUGUUUUACCGCCUUACCGUUUAUAAAAUGUUGUGUCCUUAUUAUUUAAAAAGGUUUUUCCUCAAAUCCCCGGUCUGAGUUCAGUUGCACCCAAAAGUACACCCGAAUCCCUCAAACCAAGGCUCUGAUACCAAUUGUAACAGCUCAAAUUUUCAAAUAAAUUUUUCAUUAAAAACAAAACAUCAUUAUUCGACAAAAGGGUUUUAUUCCAAGUUUAUUUCAAAAAUAUAAAUAAUAAAUCUCCAGGAUCUUCAACAGUGGCAGUGUGUACGUGUCACGCCGGCGCCUUUCCACGGUCAUCACUAGUACCUGAAAAACAUAAACACAACUAGUAAGCAUAAAUGCUUAGUGAGUUCCCCAGUAUACGACUUACCCACAUACGCCUUCCGGCCCGGACCUUUCGGUCCACAUAACAUUGCCUUCCGGCCCGUAAUAUAAUCGCCUUCCGGCCCAUAAUAUAUAUCGCCUUCCGGCCCGUAUUAGAUUGCCUUCCGGCCCAUAGUAUUUUGCCUUCCGGCCCACGAUAGUAUAAAACAUAACACAUGUAACAUAAUACACAUAACACAUAAAUCAUACAUCAUACCGUCCUUUCUAUCACAUAGAGUCUCGCCUUCCGGCCCGUAUAAGCAUACAUCACAUAUAAGCACACAUCACAUAUAAAGCAUCUACCCCUCUAGACAUAGCAUGAAUAUAACACAUACGACCUUCCGGUCUCACAGUCAAACCCUUCCGGGUGAAGUAUAGUGAGAAGACUCACCUCGUAGUAUGCAAGCUAUAAACUCUUCGGGCUACUCGCACACGAUCCGCUAAUCCGCAGGUUCCCUAUAAUACCACAUCCUUUGUUAAUGAUCUUAUCAAACAAAACCACUGACCCUACUAAGUUAUAUACAGGUCAACGGUCAACCUUGACCGGACUCGUCGAGUCCAAAGGGUAACUCGACGAGUAUAGACACCCUGACACUACUCGCCGAGUCUGAAGAACGACUCGACGAGUUCCUGUAGAUCUUCAAGCUACUCGCCGAGUCUGAAGAACAACUCGGCGAGUCCUAGUGAACCUUCAAGCUACUCGCCGAGUCUGAUCAUUGGACUCGGCGAGUCCUCACCAUGCAGUCAAUCCGCUGCCUCCUGUACUUCGCAUGAUUUCGAAGUACUUAGAUGUGGGGCUUCCUGGACUUUCACAUAUACUAAUACAGGGGUUUAACACUUAUAACAACAAUAUAAUCCAACAAAUCCUUAAAUGGGUUUCCUAAACCCUAAACUCGUAUACAACGUAAAAGCUACGGAUUUCGAUCCGAAGAUUACCUGGAAACGUGUUCCUUGUGUCUCCAAACCUCCAGUCCUCGAUUCCUUUGAUCACCACCUUGCUCCUCC
This 7445-nucleotide long non-coding RNA is filed under the name Lactuca sativa (garden lettuce). RNAcentral describes it as "long non-coding RNA (LSAT_LNC010218)". Lineage: Eukaryota; Viridiplantae; Streptophyta; Magnoliopsida; Asterales; Asteraceae. The record is from RNAcentral.